UACAGAGGGGGCAAGCGUUAUUCGGAAUUAUUGGGCGUAAAGGGCGCGUAGGCGGCUUUUUCAAGUGGCGGGUGAAAGCCCUCGGCUUAACCGAGGAACUGCCUGCCAGACUGGAUCGCUUGAGACCGGGAGAGGUGAGUGGAAUUCCCAGUGUAGCGGUGAAAUGCGUAGAUAUUGGGGAGGAACACCGGUGGCGAAGGCGACAUCCUGGACCGGUAUUGACGCUGAGGCGCGAAAGCCAGGGGAGCAAACGGG
Molecule: ribosomal RNA, 255 nt
Filed under: uncultured bacterium
Lineage: Bacteria
Description: partial 16S ribosomal RNA
Rfam family: Bacterial small subunit ribosomal RNA
Source: RNAcentral